Molecule: ribosomal RNA, 287 nt
Filed under: uncultured bacterium
Lineage: Bacteria
Description: partial 16S ribosomal RNA
Rfam family: Bacterial small subunit ribosomal RNA
Source: RNAcentral
GUGGAUUAGAUACCCUGGUAGUCCACGCCGUAAACGGUGGGUGCUAGUUGUGGGCUCCAUUCCACGGAGUCCGUGACGAAGUUAACACAUUAAGCACCCCGCCUGGGGAGUACGGUCGCAAGACUAAAACUCAAAGAAAUUGACGGGGGCCCGCACAAGCGGCGGAGCAUGCGGAUUAAUUCGAUGCAACGCGAAGAACCUUACCAAGGCUUGACAUAUAGAGGAAACCUGCAGAAAUGUAGGCCCCGCAAGGUCUCUAUACAGGUGGUGCACGGCCGUCGCCAACU